Molecule: ribosomal RNA, 2548 nt
Filed under: human gut metagenome
Description: bacterial LSU rRNA
Rfam family: Bacterial large subunit ribosomal RNA
Source: RNAcentral
UCAAGCGAACAAGGGCGCAGGGCGAAUGCCUUGGCACUGGGAGCCGAUGAAAGACGUGAUAAGCUGCGAUAAGCUUCGGGGAGCUGCAAAUAAGCAUUGAUCCGGAGAUUUCUGAAUGAGGAAACUCACCUGGGUUCAUACUCAGGUACGUUAUACUGAACUUAAAAAUAGGUAUAUCGAGGGAACCGCCUGAACUGAAACAUCUAAGUAGGGCGAGGAAGAGACAUCAAACGAGAUUCCGUAAGUAGUGGCGAGCGAACGCGGAAGAGGGCAAACCGGAAGUAGAAAUACUUCCGGGGUACGGACCGCAUUUAGGACUUAAGUUGUUAACCGAACGGCAUGGGAAGGCCGGUCAGAGAGUGUGAGAACCACGUAGGUGAAAACGACAAGAGCUGAGCGAGUUCCAGAGUACGGCCAGACACGUGAAACCUGGUCGGAAUAUGGGGGGACCACCCUCCAACCCUAAAUACUACCCAGUGACCGAUAGCGUAUAGUACUGUGAAGGAAAGGUGAAAAGCACCCCGGGAGGGGAGUGAAAAAGAACCUGAAACCCUGUGCCUACAAGCACCUAGAGCACGUCAAUGUGUGAUAGGGUACUUUUUGUAGAACGGUCCGGCGAGCGAUUGUAUGCAGCAAGGUUAAGGACUUAAGGUCUGGAGCCGAAGCGAAAGCGAGUUUGAAAAGGGCGUUAAGUUGCAUACAAUGGGCCCGAAACCGGGUGACCUACCCAUGGUCAGGUUGAAGUGGAAGUAAAAUUCCAUGGAGGACCGAACCGACCUCCGUUGAAAAGGCGGCGGAUGAACUGUGGGUAGCGGAGAAAUUCCAAUCGAACCCGGAGAUAGCUGGUUCUCCCCGAAAUAGUUUUAGGACUAGCCUCAAGUUAGAUACCUGGAGGUAAAGCACUGAAUAGCCUAGCGGCCGAGAGGUUAGCGAAGCUUAUCAAACUCAGAAUGCCAGAGUAUUGAUGCUUGGGAGUCAGACAGUGUCAGAUAAAUGUCAUUGUCAAAAGGGAAACAGCCCAGAUCUACAGCUAAGGUCCCAAAGUCAGGUUAAGUGGAAAACGAUGUGAAGAUACGUAGACAACCAGGAUGUUGGCUCAGAAGCAGCCACACAUUCAAAGAGUGCGUAAUAGCUCACUGGUCGAGCGUCUUUGCGCGGAGAAUUUAACGGGGCUAAACCUGACACCGAAGCUUAGGCAAUACAGCAAUGUAUUGGGUAGGGGAGCGUUGUAUACGCGGUGAAACAGUAGCGCAAGCGGCUGUGGAGUGUAUAGAAGUGAGAAUGCCGGAAUGAGUAGCGCGAAUGCAGUGAGAAUCUGCAUGGCCGAAAGCCUCAGGUUUCUGGAGGAAGGUUCGUCCGCUCCAGGUUAGUCGGGAGCUAAGGUGAGGCCUAACGGCGUAGCCGAUGCACAGACGGUAGAGAUUCCGUCACCACCAAAAGAGUUAAGCACAGGGACACAUUUGAAGUCUCGGAGCCGGGUGUUGGUUCCGGUAGCGAUCGAGGGAAGUUAGUACCGAAGUCCGGGAUGGAAGAUGGCGAGAAAAGCUGUGUGUAUUUCUGCGGUGCCCGUACCGCAAACCGACACAGGUAGGUAGGAAGAAGAUUCUAAGGCCAACGGGAGAAGGGUUGUUAAGGAACUCGGCAAAUUGACCCCGUAACUUCGGGAGAAGGGGUGCUCCAGAGAUGGAGCCGCAGAGAAUCGGCCCAAGCAACUGUUUACCAAAAACACAGGUUUGUGCUAAAUCGAAAGAUGACGUAUACGAGCUGACGCCUGCCCGGUGCUGGAAGGUUAAGAGGAGAUGUGCAAGCAUUGAAUCGAAGCCCCAGUGAACGGCGGCCGUAACUAUAACGGUCCUAAGGUAGCGAAAUUCCUUGUCAGGUAAGUUCUGACCCGCAUGAAAGGCGUAAUGAUUUGGGCACUGUCUCGACAGCCCGCCCGGCGAAAUUGUAGUACCGGUGAAGAUGCCGGUUACCCGCGACAAGACGGAAAGACCCCAUGGAGCUUUACUGUAGCCUAAUAUUGGGUUUCGAUGUUGCAUGCACAGGAUAGAUGGGACACAGGGAAACAAGUGCUUUGGCAUUUGUGGAGUGGCCGUUGGGAUACCAUCCUUGCGAUAUUGGAAUUCUAACCUGCGCCUUUGAAUCAAGGCGGGGGACAUUGUUAGGUGGGCAGUUUGACUGGGGCGGUCGCCUCCUAAAGAGUAACGGAGGCGUUCAAAGGUUCGCUCAGCUUGAACGGAAAUCAAGCAAAAGAGUGCAAACGCAGAAGCGAGCCUAACUGCGAGACUGACGGGUCGAGCAGUAACGAAAGUUGGAGUUAGUGAUCCGGUGGUAUGUGAGUGGAAAUGCCAUCGCUCAACGGAUAAAAGUUACCCUGGGGAUAACAGGCUGAUCUCCCCCAAGAGUCCACAUCGACGGGGAGGUUUGGCACCUCGAUGUCGGCUCAUCGCAUCCUGGGGCUGUAUUCGGUCCCAAGGGUUUGGCUGUUCGCCAAUUAAAGCGGUACGCGAGCUGGGUUCAGAACGUCGUGAGACAGUUCGGUCCCUAU